Molecule: long non-coding RNA, 469 nt
Organism: Xenia sp. Carnegie-2017
Lineage: Eukaryota; Metazoa; Cnidaria; Anthozoa; Malacalcyonacea; Xeniidae
Exons: 2
Source: RefSeq, a predicted model, not a curated record
CAACAGAGUACAUUAUGGUGGUAGACAUUAACAGGCAGUACAACAGAGUACAUUAUGGUGGUAGACAUUAACAGGCAGUACAACAGGGUACAAUAUGGUGGUAGACAUUACCAGGUAGUACAAAAGGAUAACAUAUAAUGGAGGAGACUGCCAACCAGAAAUAUGUAAAGAUACACACCUUUGGUGACAAAGAAGAUGUUUGAACCACUGGAUCUGUUUGAGAUCUACGAAGUUUACGUUCAACCAGGGGGGUGAUCACAGGAGCACUGCCAUGGCGAGGAGGUAGCGGUGGCUUGCUUGGUCGUGGUGGUAUUACAGGAGGAGGAGUUCCAGGACUCGACUCAACUGAGUAUUUCGGAUCAUUUUGAUCCUGAGAAAGGAAAAAUAUGGUUGAUGACUUUUAUUCAGGUAAAAAUCAUCCGUCAUUAAACUAAAAAAGUUUCGUAAAAAUAAAAAGUUUCAAAUCUCA